AGUUUCAAUAUUUCAUUUCAAUUUAGCCCAACGUCCCUACGCCCGACAUGAAAGCUCAUUUAAAUAUAAGUCCAACAAAGCACUCAAGAAAAACAAAUAGCAUCCAAACAAAUAACACAUCGUGCAGCAAAUUGCUCCUGCGAUAACAUAAGGUUAUUUAAAACACGAUUCUAGCCCACUAAUAUACCAAACCAAUCUAUAGAAAAUUUCAGAGAAUUCAAGCCUAACAUAUCCAAACUCACUUUGUUACUUAAACAAAAUUAAUCCAAAUCUUACUUCCAAUUUUAAGACUUAUACUUAUCAAAUGUAGAACUAGAUUGAACAAACUAAAAUUCCCUUCAUCUUUGUUAUCAAAUGUCACUGCCCAGAGAGAAUGCUAAGCACAAAAGGAACGAGAAUCUGACAACAAAUUAAGCUCAAAUUCAUUUUAGACAUAGACCAACACAGAGGAACAUGAAUCAGAUAACCAAUCAAACUUUAAUUCAUUUGAAAUAAAGAGUGAGACAGAAGAAAUGAACCUUGAUUGAAAAAUAAAAUCGGCAAACAAGAACUGCACCCGAACCUCGAGCGGAACCUCAGACUCUAACCUCGAACAGAUUUUGGAAUUUUUGUUUUAGGCGAUGAGCGAUGAAGCUGUGUGCUGAGACCCGUUUCCUUUUGCUCUCCCCGUUGCUUUGUCCGUUCCCUCAACUCCCUCUGUUUCGUGACCUCCUCUCUUUAUGGGUGGUGUCUUCCGGUGUUAAUGGCUGAUUUACGGUGGCUUUAGGGGGUUGAAUGGGCUAUUUUUGGGGCUGGACUUUGGUGGAGGUUUGUGUUGAUUACGGUGGAGAAGAUAGGUUCUUGAAUUUUUCCGUUCCUUUUCCUUUUGUUCCCCUGUUUUUCUCUGUUUUUGUUCUGUUUGCCGUCGUGAGUGGAGUUGAAGGGUAGUGUUGAAGUUGGUGGUAAUGGGUGUUUAAUAGAGAUUAAAGUAGAGUGGGAAAUUAGGUGGCGUCCAUGGAGUUGAACUGUGGCAUCUCUCUCUUUUUUCUAAUCCCGUUCCCAAACCCUCUGCUUUUCUCUCGUCCUCUAGGCCUCUCUUUUCUCUCUUUGCUCUAUCUGUUUUUUCUCCUUUUUUGUUUUUCCCA
This 1124-nucleotide long non-coding RNA is filed under the name Nicotiana tabacum (common tobacco). RNAcentral's name for it is "long non-coding RNA (NTAB_LNC006417)". Lineage: Eukaryota; Viridiplantae; Streptophyta; Magnoliopsida; Solanales; Solanaceae. The record is from RNAcentral.